AAACAAUGUGCUCAGUGACCAACUUGGCUGCUGUAUUGAGCCAACAGAUGAUGUCAUGCCACUUCCUAAAGUAACCGGUUGGAGAACAACAGUAAGUGUCUGUUCAAGCACCAUUCCAGAACUUGCUGCAGCUAGAUCAAAUUCAUUUGAGAUUAAAUGCAACCUCUGAGAGUGAUAAAAUCCUCUGUAGAUAGAAGGUCUGUCCAUCAAUGCAGAAAGUCCAGCUUUGUCUCGGCAAGGAAGCAACUUUAGCCAGGGAGUGAGGUUCUCUGUGCAAACAGCCUCACGGGGCAAGGUGCCAUAUCUGAUAUUUGUAGCAAAUGACUUGAAGCUCCAUUGAGGAGAAGAAUAAGCAGUUGAUGACUCUAGGAAGUUAAUAGAAGCACAAAAGAGCCCUGAAAGAGCGUGUGUUAAAUUUCUCCACGAAGCGUCGACCUGAUGUUGUGGAACAUCAAAAGUAGCCCAGAGUUCAACUCCAGGAGGCUUCGCAUUUCUACUUGAAAUGGGAUCAUAUCCACCCCAGCGUGCAUAAUUCCAGCGACCUUGUGUGAACGACAGCUCCAUUUCUUGAACUCUAAAUUUAUGGACCAGCUGAUAAAUGGAUUUGGGGAAAAGGUGGUGGUGGCUGCCAUGUGUUCGAGUUGGUGGGACUUUACUUUCGAAAUGAAAAUGAGCAAGCACUUUACGAUCUGGCAAUGGCCUCAACAAGAGUGCUUCUGAGAACUGUUCAAUUUGAUCUUCCUCUUCGGCAAUAAUUGACCCGAAACUCUUAAAGAGCAGAAGAAAAAGCAAAAUUGAUCUUAACCGAACCAUUAAUGGAGCUCCUGUGUUAUCGUUGAUAUUGAAACUGGGAAUAUGUGAAAGAUAAAUCGAACAAUUCCGCCAUUACAAGAGCUUCAAGGUGUGUUAAAACUUAGAUCAAAGGUUUGAACAAUUUUG
This 939-nucleotide unclassified non-coding RNA is filed under the name Hevea brasiliensis (rubber tree). Lineage: Eukaryota; Viridiplantae; Streptophyta; Magnoliopsida; Malpighiales; Euphorbiaceae. The record is from RNAcentral.